CCCCUGUCUUUCUAAACCUUUGCCCCCUAUAUUGGGUCUGCCGGUUCGCCGGCUAUGGAAAUAAACGGUCGUCGCAAUAAACCAUUCGGACCCGGGGGCGGUACCCGGCGCCUCCACCAAAGCCCACCAGCGAGCACUUCCCAGAGCGGGCUUUGGCGGGGGCGAAAUAGGAUCGACGAGGGCGUAAAGGGCGUACUUUUUCCCGGUAUUGUUCCGCCGUUAUCGGGCUACUGCAAUAGUUGCCAACGACAACUUUGCUCCGGUUGCUCAGGCUGCGUAACGCAGUUUGAAAGACCAUCUUAAAGUCCUAACGGGUUAAGCUCCGUUAGGCGGGGUUCGGAGGCACCUGGCAACAGAAGCCUCCACU
Molecule: transfer-messenger RNA, 367 nt
Filed under: Bradyrhizobium commune
Lineage: Bacteria; Pseudomonadati; Pseudomonadota; Alphaproteobacteria; Hyphomicrobiales; Nitrobacteraceae
Description: Bradyrhizobium genosp. B transfer-messenger RNA
Rfam family: Alphaproteobacteria transfer-messenger RNA
About the family: Bacterial tmRNA, also known as 10Sa RNA or SsrA, is named for its dual tRNA and mRNA-like properties. Its role is to liberate the mRNA from a stalled ribosome. To accomplish this part of the tmRNA is used as a reading frame that ends in a translation stop signal.
Source: RNAcentral